CGUGAGCCCACCGCGCCCGACCUCAGUUCUUUUUCUAAUUAGAAAAUUCACUGAUUGUCUAACAAAACUCCACCAUCUGCUUCUUUGAACCUCACCUAUGUCUGCAGGGAAAGAACUGGGUCAGAAAGGGCAGUAAUUGUAGAAGCAGGUAAAUUAAGGGCUUUUCAGGCCAGAAGUCACUUGUGAUUUUUCCACUGUGCUUCUUCCCCUGGGGAGAGAGAACCUUAAGUCCACUUCCUUACACGUUGCUCCCAGGUGGCAAAACAGAAGUCACUGCUCAAAGGUCCGAUUUUCAAGGGGAACUCCCUAGACGGCAGAUCCCCUUUAAAACAGCUGAGACAAACACAAGCGUAAACUUUUUCAAAAUAAUCUGCCAUACAAAGUGAAGAGAAGCCCAAAGACAUACACAGUGAUAAAUAAGAACAAAAACAUAGACUAACGGACCUCGAGAUACUUUACCGUCAAUUAACAAUAACCAUGUUAGGCUGCCCAACUCACAGAGUCAAAGGACAGACCUCUCUCCUUGCGCGCCUCUGCGCCAGACCGGCUUUCGGCUUGCUUAUCGUGGGGCUCUGAACGGUCACUGUGCGGCCAGGGAAGUCUCCAGCACAGCCUCGGGAAGACAUUCCUAUUACAUAUUUAUCACUUUGGCGCUGGCCAUUCGUGACAGGUGGGAGACGAGUGAGGCAAGGAGCUUUCCGCCAGGCUGAGGUCGCCG
RNAcentral lists this long non-coding RNA (718 nucleotides) under Pan troglodytes (chimpanzee). Its description in RNAcentral is "long non-coding RNA NONPTRT005013". Lineage: Eukaryota; Metazoa; Chordata; Mammalia; Primates; Hominidae. The record is from RNAcentral.